Long non-coding RNA from Acanthaster planci (crown-of-thorns starfish), 2948 nucleotides. The record is from RefSeq and is a predicted model, not a curated record. Lineage: Eukaryota; Metazoa; Echinodermata; Asteroidea; Valvatida; Acanthasteridae.
CUCAUUUUCUGGCAUCACUGCCCUGAUAGAGUAAGGCGAUAGCAGCGUGUUUGGUCCCCUGCGUGUGAGCUCAUCUUCUAGCAUCACUGCCCUGAAACAAUUUGGGAAGAACUUGUCUCCAGUUGAAGGUGGUGCAAUGGCUGGCUACUUUGAGACGGGCUAAUGUAUCCUGCAUCAUGGUGCAAGUUGAAGGACUUGUGACGAGAUCUCCAUAACUGCAGACAUAAGUUAUGUCAUAAGUAGCACAGACAUUGUUGGCAUGGAAGCUGUGCGUAAGAACCAGAUCUACAAUGCCAAUAAGAAGAGCGCCCUCGCCUCCUUUAACAAGGAGAGAAGCAAGAUGGCAGGCAAGAUCCUGUAGGACUUCCUAGAGAUGAUUCACGAGCAUGUCAAGAGGAGGAAGUAACUCAGAUAGAUGCCAGUCCUCGCCUUCAUCACUGAGGAGGAACAGCUUCCAAGACUGAAGGAGGGAUCCUUAUCAGAAUCGUAGGCAUUGAUUCACAAAGGCAAGGAAAGGACUCAAUCUUCUCAGAGAUGCAGUUCUUUGCUUCUCCACCUUAGUGAUGAAGCAAGUCUGUCUACAUUUGCACACUACUCAAAAGGAUCAAAGGAACAGAAUUUAAAAAAAGAUUUGCAUUGCAACAUGUGAGUGUCAUUUAAUGUGGUUAUGUUCUGGCAACAAAACAAAGACUGUAUUGGUUCCCGUCCAAUGCAAACUUUCUCUACAGAGUACUGAAGUCCCAUGACACUGAGAAACACUUUGGUCAGCACCUUGUCGAGGUCUUCUACACAGCCCUAAAAAUGAUGAAAGCGGAGUUUUGGAAGAAUAUGAGUUGUUAAAAUGAUGUCCUGUUGAUGUGAGGGCGCUAUUUAUGAGUUAGAAUUAUAUCCUGAUAAUGUGAGGGCGCUAUUUUUUUGUCUGAAAUUAUUACGGCUAAAAAAUAAAGCUCUUCCAAGAUGUGAUAUGCAUCGCAACAUGAAAAUAUGAACUGUUGAGACCUUUGCUCAGAAAACAAAUGCAUACAUCUGUACCACAUACAAAUGCAUGUCACAUUUUUUAAUUAUUAACAAAAAUGAAGACUGAUACAUGACCAGCGAAGUUCAUUUCUAACCAUAGGACCCUCCGUUGCUCAGAAAAUUGCGCCCUCUCUUGGUCUUGCUCAGGGCUCAGUGGACUCUGAAACACAUACAGUAAAACUAGACACCUGGCUGAAACUUUCAAGACAAAUGUCUGAUCCUUUAAUUUUUUUUGAGUAGUGUAUGCAGUACAAUGCUGCUAUAAUGAACAGGGCAGGGUCCAUACACAAUGCUUGGUGUAGCAUACCUCGCAUCUGUUCCGAUUUCAGUGGAUGAUAUUUAGAAGGCCCAAAAAUUGAACCGUUCCAGUUUGUCCGAAAAAGGGAGAAAAACAUUCUUUGCAAGAGGGCGCUAUUCACCAAAAAGGAGGUGCCAUUUUCAGAAAAAAGAGGGCGCUGUUUACAGAGUCAUAAACUGGUAGCUCUGAUUUUUCAAUGUUGAAAUCGUAGCUUUCGAGUCAUUCUCAUCAGUCUUAAAUUUAUUUCUUGAAUUUUAAAACAAAUUUCAGAAAAAAUGCAUGGAAAAUUUCGGAGACAAGGGGCCUGUAUGCCCAAUUGUUCAGCAUAGAGACAUUGUACUUGGGAGGUACUUGUGUACGUUCACUACAGCCAGACACAGUCAGUCAGUUUGCUUUGAAACAAAAAAACUACUGUUCACAAAUUACCUUGUAUCUUUAAUGUAUCGUAAUGCAUCUACUUUCAUAUUUAUGCACAUUUAAAACAUUCAGGUGUACGUAGGUUUUCACAAUGCUCUACUCCAAAAAUUCUAAUGUGCGAAAACUUGAUUACCAUUUGGAAAGCCGGUAGACACUUGAUAGACUGGACUCGUAUGAAAAUUUUUAACUCUUUUAAAAAAAUUUUGAACAGUAAAUUAUGUAAUUCACAUCUCCCUUUCCCAUUCAGGCUGCCAAAAUACCAACACUAUUCAGUCAAUCUAGAGGCCGUUCUAAACCUCACUUCAACAAGUUUUUCCUUGGACAACAUUCCAUGUGCAUUAUGUAUUUUCCAAGUUGCACAUUGCCAGAGCAUUGGAAAAAGUCUUUAACUUAAAAUUACAUGUAUCACAAAGCGGCAAGUGACAAAAUUGUUGGCUCAGUACUAAUAGGCCAUUACUGAAAAAAAAUAAUUUUUGAAAAUAGGGCAUUACUCUCAAUAUGAAAAAAAUUUUUUUGGGAACAAACAUUUUUGAAACUUCUAGUCAUAAACCUUUUUUUUUUGCAGCCGACAUAUAAAUUUCAACCAAUGUAUAUUCUCAUGUUGAUGUUUACAACGUUUUUCAAUAAGGACUGUUUAGCACUGAUACAAAAUUUGUUCACGUUUGAAAAUAUUGCCAUUGUGUGUAUGUGAAACAAUCACCAUUUAUUGCUAUAACCAGUUAAUUUCUGUUUGCAAGUGAAAUAAAUGUUCAUUUAUCUAAACUAACAGAACGUUUGUGUGUAUAAUCUGUUUGUGAAAUUUAAUACUUAGCCAUUCCCCAAUCUCAACCACACUACACUGCCAGAAUUACAUCUGUUUCCCACCUUUAUAUUUUACAUUGCAGCAUCAUCCUAAGCCCUGCCAGUCUUAAACAUCUUCCAAGCUCCUUAUUUAAAGUUCCCUCUUAGAGCCUUUUAGUCUUAAUCCCACAAUGGCCACAAUAAACCCACUGGCAAUAUGGAAAUUAAGAAGCUAUGUCCUUCAACCCCAUGGGAUCCUUACAGCUCUAAUCCUGAUAGUCUCAAGCCCUCAGCCAUCCACUCUACCCUUCCUAUCAGCUCUCAAACUUCCAGGCCCUGGGACUUCCACCCUUGCCCAUCUCCUGUACAGUGUUUGGCAGAAAAAUAUUCUAAGUCCAAACAAUGAAAGGUUUAACAUUUAGAAACGAGCACAUUC